RNAcentral lists this transfer RNA (68 nucleotides) under Tachyta nana. RNAcentral's name for it is "tRNA-His". The record is from RNAcentral. Lineage: Eukaryota; Metazoa; Arthropoda; Insecta; Coleoptera; Carabidae.
AUUUAAGUAAUUUAAUAAAAAAUUUUGAUUUGUGGUAUCAAAUAUAUAAGUUUUUCUUAUCUUAAAUU